GCGUCAGUGGUUUAGUGGUAAAAUCCAUCGUUGCCAACAAGUAUCGAUGGGCCCCGUGUUCGAUUCACGGCUGACGCA
Molecule: non-coding RNA, 78 nt
Organism: Podospora appendiculata
Lineage: Eukaryota; Fungi; Ascomycota; Sordariomycetes; Sordariales; Podosporaceae
Source: the annotation of a GenBank genome assembly